This 442-nucleotide long non-coding RNA is filed under the name Rattus norvegicus (Norway rat). Its description in RNAcentral is "long non-coding RNA NONRATT002355". The record is from RNAcentral. Lineage: Eukaryota; Metazoa; Chordata; Mammalia; Rodentia; Muridae.
CCCCUAUCUGACUGUUCAGUCUUUCCCUCCUGGGAAAACUGACUCAGGUUGGAUUUUUUUCUCAUCUGCUACGGAGCCCCCUUCCAACUCAGGCCCGCUCCCACCCCUGUGCAGUAUUAUGCCAUGUCCCUCUCACCCCCACGGGCAACCCAGGCGCCCUUGGCCGUCCUCGUUGGGCCUUUCUGGUUUUGGGCAGCAGGGGGCGCUGCGACGCCCGUCUUGCUGGAGCGCUUUAUACUGUGAAUGAAUGGCCAGAUUGCUGGGUGCGCCGGAUGGGAUUGACCCCCAACCCUCCAAAGCCUUCCCUGGGCCUCUCCUUCUUCCACUUGCCCCCUUCCAACCCUUGACAGGGAGUUAGACCCGAAAGGAGUGACUGCGAUGCAUCCCGGUGGCCUUCUUGCUCAGGCCCCAGACAUUUUCUCUAAGUCCUUCGCCUUCCCCA